CAUCAAUGCAUUAAAAGAUUCGAGGGUCUUGCGUUUUCUAGAGCAUGGCGACUCCCAAUUGAAACAUCGGAUAUCCAUUCUCAACUGAAACAGGUGUGGAGAUUACUUCUAGCUGCUAUGAAGUUUUCAUUUGCUAAUGGCAUUGAAUUGCACGUGUUUUGUGAGGUGGAUAAGUAUUGUCAUAUGUGGAACUUGCAUUUAAUUAUAUUGUGCUUCCUUUGUACACCUACUACAUGCUUGAAGCAUUAUAAAAAUUACCAACUUUUGCAA
Long non-coding RNA from Helianthus annuus (common sunflower), 270 nucleotides. RefSeq lists it as uncharacterized. The transcript has 2 exons. Lineage: Eukaryota; Viridiplantae; Streptophyta; Magnoliopsida; Asterales; Asteraceae. The record is from RefSeq and is a predicted model, not a curated record.